RNAcentral lists this long non-coding RNA (564 nucleotides) under Cricetulus griseus (Chinese hamster). Its description in RNAcentral is "lncRNA (ENSCGRG00015038821.1)". Lineage: Eukaryota; Metazoa; Chordata; Mammalia; Rodentia; Cricetidae. The record is from RNAcentral.
CACUGGUAUCCCAGAAGCUUUCAACAGAGGGUAACAGAUGGAGAAAGUCAUGACUGGUCAAAAUACAGAGAAAAAUUGACCCUGACCGUGAGGUGCUAAGUCCUGAGAAUAUGGAAUGAAGAGUUACUGCCAUGGCCUUUGACAGCAUUGUGUAGUUGGGAAGGCCCAUCUCACACAGAGAAUGACACAGGAAUGACACAGGAAAAGCAACAGCCACCAACCGUACCCAAGGAGGACUGAGAGACCUGGUGUGACCCACAGCUGCAACAUUGUAGUCAUAUUGUCAACAUGGAUACCUGGCUCCAGGAGGCAGCACCAAGAGGCCAUCAGAGAAAUCUCAACCUUGGGAUUUGGGGGAAAGAGAAAUAGUGAAAGGAGGUUACAUUUUAGUAUGUGUUGAUGAUGUGUAUGGGAUGAAAGCAUGAGCAGAAAUAGGGGAAUGUCUUGUGAUAAUUAUCCCAGCUGUCAGAUACAAAAACAUCUGAACACAACACGUUAGUGGCCACACCCCUUUGGGCGUGGCUUCUGAUGCAGGAACUGGAAGGUAGGGAAGACUGGGGCAGG